UACUCGUGGCGGCGAAAGCCAAGGUCUGUCGGGAGUAACCGACGUUAGGGAAUUCGGCAAGUUAGUCCCGUACGUUCGCAAUAAGGGAUGCCUGCCCUGCAAAGGGGCAGGUCGCAGUGACUCGGGCGCUCCAACUGUCUAGUAACAACAUAGGUGACCGCAAAUCCGAAAGGACUCGUACGGUCACUGAAUCCUGCCCAGUGCGGGUAUCUGAACACCCCUUACAAGGGGACGAAGGACCCGUUAACGGCGGGGGUA
Molecule: ribosomal RNA, 258 nt
Rfam family: Archaeal large subunit ribosomal RNA
Source: Rfam